Molecule: transfer RNA, 73 nt
Filed under: Ovis aries (sheep)
Lineage: Eukaryota; Metazoa; Chordata; Mammalia; Artiodactyla; Bovidae
Rfam family: tRNA
About the family: Transfer RNA (tRNA) molecules are approximately 80 nucleotides in length. Their secondary structure includes four short double-helical elements and three loops (D, anti-codon, and T loops).
Source: Rfam by way of RNAcentral
UCUCUGGCAAUCCAGUGGUUAAGACUCUGAGCUUUCAGUUCAGGGGGCACAGGUUCAAUCCCUGGUCAGAGAA